RNAcentral lists this long non-coding RNA (645 nucleotides) under Ananas comosus (pineapple). RNAcentral's name for it is "long non-coding RNA (ACOM_LNC012785)". The record is from RNAcentral. Lineage: Eukaryota; Viridiplantae; Streptophyta; Magnoliopsida; Poales; Bromeliaceae.
UGUUGUAAGAACAGGGUAGAGUUGUUUUAGGGGGUGUUUGCCCUAGCUUUUAAAAGCUGAUUUUUAGCUUAAAAGUGAUUUUCGGCUCAGUAGAACGUUUGACAAUCUCAUUUUUAAAAUCUUAUUUUGAUUUUUUAGAAUUAAUUUUCUAAUUUUCGAGACCCAAAAUCAGAAACAGCUAAAACUUGCUUCUUGAAAUCUGAUUCUGAUUUUGGACUCAAAAUUCAAAUUUUUUAUUUUUGUUUACGAUUCAAAAUUUUUAUUUAUAUUUAAAUUUAGCUUUAAAUUUAUUUUUGAAUUUUUAAAUUUAACUUUUAAAAUUUAAAAUUUAAAAUUUAGAUAUUUAAUUUCAAUUUUCAAAAUUUAAAUUUAAAUUUAAAAUCUCAAAAUUUAAAUUUAAAUUUAAAAUCUCAAAUUUUAAAUUUUAAAUUUCAAAAUUUUAAAUUUCAAAUUAAAGUUUAAGAUAAAAUUUAUAAUCUGAAAUUUUAGAAUUUGAAAAUUUUAAUUAAAAAUUUUAAAAUUUUAAAUUUUAAAUUUUAAAAUUUAUAAUUAUAUGCUUUAAUUUUUCAAAUUACAAUUUUAAAUUUUAAAUUUUAAAUUUUAAAAUUUAAAUUUUUAAAAUUUGAAUUUUGAAUUUUAUAAUUC